AUGAACGCUAGCGGGAGGCCUAACACAUGCAAGCCGAGCGGUAGAAGAUCUUCGGAUCUUUGAGAGCGGCGUACGGGUGCGGAACACGUGUGCAACCUGCCUUUAUCUGGGGGAUAGCCUUUCGAAAGGAAGAUUAAUACCCCAUAAUAUAUUGAUUGGCAUCAAUUAAUAUUGAAAACUCCGGUGGAUAGAGAUGGGCACGCGCAAGAUUAGAUAGUUGGUGAGGUAACGGCUCACCAAGUCAGUGAUCUUUAGGGG
Molecule: ribosomal RNA, 258 nt
Filed under: Chryseobacterium sp. ISO80_OTU105685
Lineage: Bacteria; Pseudomonadati; Bacteroidota; Flavobacteriia; Flavobacteriales; Weeksellaceae
Description: partial 16S ribosomal RNA
Rfam family: Bacterial small subunit ribosomal RNA
Source: RNAcentral